AUGCAUGAAUAUAUCGAUGAGUUGAAAGACCCUCUGCGCUUCGGCCAGGUUGACUUGACAACAUCUGAGCUCAUAAAAUCCACCAAGAAGCUUCUAUGCGAGAGCCGAGGCAAAAUCGGCCUUGUAGGCUUGGCCCUCUUCUUUGCACGCAACCUGGCACAUCCAAAUUCUGAGUGGUGGAAAACUGGACCUCAAAAUCCUAGUCCACCUUGGGAUGAAGAACCGGAAGAAGAAGAGGAAAUUGAGCUAGAAGAUCUUGACUCUCUUGGCCGCCUCUUUAAUGAACUUGCUAACGCCACCACGUCACAGGAAAAUACUGGGACCAGUCGAGCCAAGGAGACUGAGAAAACGCAACACGAGGCCGGCUUGAAAAGGAAGACCCGGGCCAGUUCUGGCGAGUUGUUAGAUGGUCUAUCAUACCAGCCUUCUCCGCACCAUGUUAGGACUCAAGAGAAUCCCAACCCGGUGACAUCUUGCCCGAGGGCGGGUCAAAUCAAGAUACCGUUGAGUCAUUCUGACCCGGAUUACCAUACGACUUCACUGUCUUCUGAUGAAUCUUGCUCCAACCAAGUGUCGCCUUUUAAUAUCAAUCGUGGGAACUGA
This 603-nucleotide ribosomal RNA is filed under the name Triticum aestivum (bread wheat). Its description in RNAcentral is "partial small subunit ribosomal RNA". The record is from RNAcentral. Lineage: Eukaryota; Viridiplantae; Streptophyta; Magnoliopsida; Poales; Poaceae.